Molecule: ribosomal RNA, 253 nt
Filed under: uncultured bacterium
Lineage: Bacteria
Description: partial 16S ribosomal RNA
Rfam family: Bacterial small subunit ribosomal RNA
Source: RNAcentral
UACGUGAGGGGCGAUCGUUGUUUGGUGUCACUGGGCUUAAAGGGCGCGUAGGUGGUUGCAUAAGUAAGGUGUGAAAGCCCUCGGCUUACCCGGGGAAUUGCGCCUUAUACUGCGUGACUUGAGGAUCUCAGGGGAAGGGGGAACUCCAGGUGUAGCGGUGAAAUGCGCAGAUAUCUGGGGGAAGGCCGGCGGCGAAGGCGCCCUUCUGGGAGAUUCCUGACACUGAGGCGCGAAAGCGUGGGGAGCAAACAGG